CUAAAAAAAAGAUGUUUUCCCCCUGAUUUUUAGGAAAUUUUGGUAGAUUCUUUUGUACCCUAAUUCUUAUUUCGCUUACUCAUACACUCCUUCUUUUCAUUAUACAGACACUAGCAGAAAUAUUUGAUAUAGAUCUGAAUACACUGAAAUAGUUAAACACACAAACAUAUUUCCUGGAAUCAUACUGAUUUAACACUAUUUUUGGAGUCUCUUUCUUUCACUUUUAGCAAGGAACUCCUACUGGUUCUUAUACUAUUUUUCUGGGAUUUCUGGGUUUUAAUUUGAAGCUGUUUUGGUUUUUCUGUUUUAGUUUCUUGCUGCUGCUCUUACUCAAGUUUUUAGAGGCAUAUCUUGUUUAUCUGUUUGUUUUCCUGCGGCUGUCAAUGUAUUUUUCUUAACAAUAUAAAGUUAAUUUUGUUAUAUCAUGAAUAUGAUUUGAUGUUUAUCAAGAAUCUGUAUUUUACUUGAAUGCUACAUGAAUUAUAUUGUUUGAAGUUGUUUGGUAGAGAGUUAUGUCUACACUUAUAAGUUUAGUUAUCUACACUGUUUUAGGCUACUUUUAGCUAUAUUAAAUUUAGUGUUAAAGUGUUCUGAAAAUUACAAAACCAAUUUAAAGCUUUUUAUAUUUAUAAAAAUCUCUAUGUUCUUAUACAGCAGUAUCACAUAAAUCACUUUCUAAAAAAUUCUAUUAGAAUAGUAACACGAAGUUGGUUAUCAUUGUUCAGUUAACCAAAAAAUAUAAUAAUUGUUAAGAAUAGAAUUCUAAUUAGAGUGAAUGUCUAUCUUGUAGAGAGUUUUACUUUGAGGCUAGGUUAUUUUUCCUCCUAUAAAUAGAGGGGUCUUAUCCCAUUGUAAACCACCCCACAAUUCAAUAAGAACUUCUCUCUCUUUCUCUGCAAUAUUUCUCUUGUUCUUUUAUUGUUUUAUAACACGUUAUCAGCAUGAGAUUCUACCGUCUCAAGAAGUUCUUUUGAGAAGAGUAAGAUUUUAUUCGACAUCGAGCGAGUUCGACGAUUCUGUUCGACUUUGAUUGUUGUUUUCUCUGAAAUUUGGAUUUGGAGCUUUGUAGCUAUUUAUUUCUCAUACAUUAAAGGAAAGCGCAUCCAGAUGCGAUUUGUCAUCCUUCUCUCCUAUUUUAAUGACCUUACGUAUUUGUGAAUUUUUUUUUUAUUUUGGACUGAUCAUAUGAGCCGAUGUUAUUUCACUUUAACAUGAUUUUGGUAAUUGUUGAACUGAUUGGGGGUGAUUUCAUGAGGAAAUUGUUAAAGUUUUAAGCUUUUUCAAUAUUGGAAUUUUUUUUUUUUUUG
Molecule: long non-coding RNA, 1307 nt
Filed under: Nicotiana benthamiana
Lineage: Eukaryota; Viridiplantae; Streptophyta; Magnoliopsida; Solanales; Solanaceae
Description: long non-coding RNA (NBEN_LNC041829)
Source: RNAcentral